GGGAGGGAGAGAGAGAGAGAGAGAGAGAGAGAGCAAUGGUGUCAGUCGAUAGGUGCUGAUGAAAACAGGAACCUGUCAGCUGUUAAUGUGGCCAGAAACAAGGUCAGGCGCUGAAUCGAUAUCUCCACUAAUAGAUGCAGCGCUGGGUGAGAACCAGUUACAGACUUCAGUCCAAUGAGUCCUCUAAUAAGCCGAUCAGUCAACAAGAGGCCGGAACCGUUGGUGGUGAAUGUGGGAGCGAUGACGAUGACGAAGAAACGCUUGUCCUGGAACAUAAACACAGACCUGGGAUUCAGAGCGGCCGCGAGACCCUCGGCAUUCCGACCGACUCUCCAGGCUCCGGCGAGAAGCCGGGAAUCAGGGAAGGUGGGGAGAACACGCGCCUCCACCACCUUCACAGCUUGAACCCCUCCAAACAUCCUGCGCUGCUUUUUAUGGACUCGGAGACAAUGGGGCCUCGUCAGAACCCCCUGUAAUCUGGAGGAGGCGGAGGACACGCCCCUCUCCUCCGCGCUCGGCCUCUGCGGUUCAGUUUCUCAGAAGCGGCGAACGGGGGAGUUCAGCGGGGGGGGGGGUCACACAGAUGCUAAAAAUGCUAACUGAAAUCUAACCAAACCCCUCGAACGCUUUGAGAAGGUUUUAAAUAAAAAAGAUCUUUCCGUGAAGUUAUUGCAGUUACUGCUACUGUCUGUUUUAUCCAUUAGGUUUAAUGUUUAAAUGCAAGAGCGACAUUGACGGGACACCUUUAAAUGUUUUCUGAAAAGGAUCUCAAAAAUAUUUUGCACGCGUGUUUUUCCGCUCAGUCAGACGCGUCCGCGGCCCUUUGUAGUGACUCCCUCCGCUCUGCAAUUACAGCCUGGUGUCUGCCACAACAGCCCAUCGGAGCUCGGGCCUGAUAUAAUGUGCUUCUCGGAGUAAAAACACGCUGGGAUCCUUGAGGCGGCGCAGACACACAACAGGGACACAAGCUCGUAAAUCACUCUGAUGCCAUUUUGCCGUUUUGACGAUGGGAGUCAAAGCCGUUUAAAUACAGGGACGCAGCUUCACGCGCCUGUGGGAAGCUUUUCACACCAGCCGCAUCUCGACACGAACCGGCGGUACACCGUGUGCUCGAUCCGCUCCACUGUGAGAGUAUAAGCCCAGUAUUAAAGUCGUGACAAUUCAAAAGAAACCUCCUUUUGAAGCGGCAGACAACCCGAAGCCGAAGUCCCAGACAGCGAGGAGCAAAUUCGAAUAGAAGCUGGGUGUUUGAUGUGAGACAACUCCGGGGCAAUCAGGGAGAGUGCAGAAUUCCAGAUUAACUUUAAGCCAGUGAGCUCUGUGAAAGCUAAGCCACGACGGCUCCCCUGCUGUGAUCUCAUCCCCCCCUGCGCCCGCCAUCCCCCGUUCCUCCAACGCCGAAGGCAGCUCCCGACUGGAGGGAAGCGGCUGAAACGCGCGGCCGGGCGGUCGCCAACAGAGGCUGCUAUUCCCAGAACCUCCACCCACGCACCACACGCACGGGCCAGAGCCGCAUUCAUCAUCUACCUUCAGAAACUGGAGUGCAUCAAAUGCUUCAUUUAAAGGAGCCAUAGAACUGCACUGCUUGUCAUUUUGGGACAAAAGCAGGACUUUAACUGUUUGGUGUGAAGCGAUGACAACAAACAAAUAAAACAGGAAUUUCCGGGC
Betta splendens (Siamese fighting fish) is the source of this 1668-nucleotide long non-coding RNA. RefSeq lists it as uncharacterized. Lineage: Eukaryota; Metazoa; Chordata; Actinopteri; Anabantiformes; Osphronemidae. The transcript is spliced from 2 exons. The record is from RefSeq and is a predicted model, not a curated record.